This 676-nucleotide ribosomal RNA is filed under the name uncultured Marinomonas sp. RNAcentral's name for it is "bacterial SSU rRNA". It matches the Rfam family "Bacterial small subunit ribosomal RNA", at positions 60 to 725 of the family's 1533-position model. The record is from RNAcentral. Lineage: Bacteria; Pseudomonadati; Pseudomonadota; Gammaproteobacteria; Oceanospirillales; Oceanospirillaceae.
AGUCGAGCGGUAACAGGAAUUAGCUUGCUAAUUUGCUGACGAGCGGCGGACGGGUGAGUAACGCGUAGGAAUCUGCCUGGUAGUGGGGGACAACAUGUGGAAACGCAUGCUAAUACCGCAUACGCCCUACGGGGGAAAGGAGGGGAUCUUCGGACCUUUCGCUAUCAGAUGAGCCUGCGUGAGAUUAGCUAGUUGGUGGGGUAAAGGCUCACCAAGGCGACGAUCUCUAGCUGGUCUGAGAGGAUGAUCAGCCACACUGGGACUGAGACACGGCCCAGACUCCUACGGGAGGCAGCAGUGGGGAAUAUUGGACAGUGGGGGCAACCCUGAUCCAGCCAUGCCGCGUGUGUGAAGAAGGCCUUAGGGUUGUAAAGCACUUUCAGGAGUGAGGAAGGGUGUACGGUUAAUACCCGUAUAUUUUGACGUUAACUCCAGAAGAAGCACCGGCUAACUCUGUGCCAGCAGCCGCGGUAAUACAGAGGGUGCGAGCGUUAAUCGGAAUUACUGGGCGUAAAGCGCGCGUAGGCGGUUUGUUAAGUCGGAUGUGAAAUCCCAGGGCUCAACCUUGGAAUGGCACCCGAUACUGGCAGGCUAGAGUACGGUAGAGGGGUGUGGAAUUUCCUGUGUAGCGGUGAAAUGCGUAGAUAUAGGAAGGAACAUCAGUGGCGAAGGCGAC